CUCUCUUCCUCCCACAGUCAAACAAAGUCUCCACGGGCUCCUUUCAGGCGGGGGACUAGAUCUGAGACGGGCUCCUUCCAGGCGACCGAUGGCGGCUCGGCGGCGGUGCACGCGGCAAGGAGGCCCCGGCGUCGGUGGCUCUGCAAGAGGAGGUCAAGGCGGCGGUGGCGCCGGCUACAGCUGAUGCGGCGGCUGGGGGAGACGGCGUGGUUUGGGGAAGGAUGCAGGGCGCUGACGGCUGUUGAGGGGGCUGUAGGCCGCGGCGGCGAGGGAGGCUGCGGCAACAGCGGAAGGCUGCGGCGGCGCCGGCUUUAAGAAGAAGCUGUAGGAGGCGGCGACGGCACAGGUUACUCCCCUUCCCCUCCCCUUGUCUUCCCUCCAUGGCAAGAGAGGCACGAGGAGCAUGCAUGCUUGCCGAGGAUGACGACGACGACAGCAAGCUACAUUGCUAGCUAGCUAUCCACGGAUUUGUUUUGUGAAUUAGAAAAAAAAUCCAAAAUUUCCGGUAUUCGGAAAUUUCAGUCCCCCCGGUAGAAAAUUCAAAACCGAAAUUGCAAACCCUAGUUAGAACUCGAGCCACCUUGUCUACAUGACUGACCAAUGUGACCCAAACCCUGCUUGUGAAUGAACAAUGCGUAGGUUAAUAUGGCAUGUGGUUCCCAUUAUUUCCACAUGCCAGAAAUGUGUCUUGGGGCUGACUGUCCACAUGGUAUUGUGGUCCCACAUGGCGCAUCUGUCCAGCCCAACUAAGGCCCGUUCGAAAAAUGUAGUAAUAGAUUAGUACAUGAUUAAUUAAUUAUUAAUUAUUAAAAAAUAUAAAAUAUAUUAAUAUGAUUUUUUUAAAAUAACUCUCCUAUAGAAAAUUUUUGAAAAAAAAAACACCGUUUAGUAGUUUGGAAAGCGUGCGCGUGAAAAACAGAAAGAUAAUUUAACUUAUGGGGGGCUACCGAACGUGGGCCUACUUGGCAGUAACUGACAUGCUUGUCCAUAUGUCAUAGCGGACGACACAUGUUCAGUCCUAUGCCUUGGAGCCUACCUAUCAAUGAACCAUACCAAUUUCAUUAAUUCAAGUAAAUUAUAGAGUGGGACAAUCACAAUGAAACUCAUUCAGUCACUUGUGACCAUGGGCACAACUAUUUAAAUAGGUUUAUUAUAGCAAGAGGUAUACAACUUUGCUGACAAGACAUAAUUCACAGACAUAUCUCCAUAUAUCAUUGUACCACAAUGGCACCCUGAUAAGAGGUUGUGGAGAAAAUCUCCGCAUAACUCUUUCAAAACCAUCCACACUAUGUCAAGGUUGCCCUCAUAGAUUGUCCCCAAGUAUCCGACCCUAUCGGGUAGUCUACCCUUGUUACACUGUGGGAAAUCUACAAGUUGGUUAGCACUGUAUCUCAGUCCAAUCCAACUCUGUCAUGCCCACUCUUACCUAGGUGCCUAGGAAAGGAGGAAGCUACACUGCAAGCCUAGUUGUUGCUGAUGCUAGCUCGUGGUAUGUACAGAAUGCCUAGAUAAAUUAUGGUAAGUGUCUCGAGCUCAUGGCUCAUCAAGUACCAAAUAUAUAGUCAAGUAAGUCAUUAUCCCAUUAGCGAAGUAGUUCUUCUAACCAUGGCUAAGCAUAGCCUAUUUCUAGCUUGGUCAACAUAAGGAACCCAAGCUAGUCCAAACAAGGCAAGGAAGAAGAGAAUCACCAAUCACAUAUUAAAAGGAAUAAUUUAUUUUAAAAAACAAAUCAACAGUAUAUAAUUUGUCCUUAUUUUUAUAAUUAUUGUUUCUAAAAGAUGUUAUAAUAUGACAUUAAGAAGGCCAAGAUGGCCAUGCAUGUGCAUGGUCCACCAAUUAGAUAAAAAACCUGUAAAAUUAAUUAAACAACAUACAAUUCAUACACAAUUAGGUCUUCCAUCAAAUUUUAUUUAUCUUUUCUAUCAAGGGGUUCCUAUUGCAUUAUUUGAGUUCAUAGCCAUUAAUCUUUAUGUUUUUAUAAAUAUGUUGUUAGAAACUGUACAUUCAAUUAUAUUUAAUUUGAACUAUUGCAUCCAUUAUAAUUAAAUCAGAAAUUAAAGACUCGUCCAAGAUAUAUUUAUCUUAAGAAAAUAUGACAUGUGGUGGCCAUAUGUCAUACGUAUACCUGUAAUAAAUUAGAGAAAAUCAUAAAUGUUCUCAGAAAAAAGAAAAAUAUAUUAUCCUUAUUUUUAAAGAAAUUAUAAUAGACAAGUUGAUAUGUAAUGCCCUUUCACCAAAAUAAUUUAUCUCGAUGAAGAAAUGUUGGGAGUGAUAGGCAUUUAUGUUGGUAAUUUAAUAGAGCAAAAAUCAUUUACUCAGUAAAACUUUUAAACCAUGAAUAAAUAUUGGGAGCGAUAAACAUUCCAGUGUUCAAAUGCUCUAAUAAAUUUAGUGGUCUCAUUUUGCUUUUAGGACAUGUUAGUCUAUUGUGGGCUAUAUCCUAAGCCACGUCAGCAGAAAAAAUUUCACAUACAAGGAUGGUCUUUUAAGCUGACUCUUCAUAAUUACAGACUAAUUAAUUCACUGCAUGCAAACAAGGAUCCAAUGUGAAUGUCAUCAUAGCAUUUUUUUUUAUGUUUCAUGUAUGUAAAAGAAAUAAUACCUACAGAUGCAAAACCAAACAAACAAAAUAGUAUACUAUGACACGCAUAUAUAUUUAUUGUUAUUUUAGCAAUAUAUCAACAUGAUUAUUCUCUAAUCUCCAUUACUGUGCAAUUAAUCAUACUACUCUGAAGGUAGAAAAAUGCAGUAUCAUCUCCGAUCAGCACUCGCACUCACACGUUUUGGUGGCUAAAACCUGACGAAACUGAAUAUUUCAGAUGAUGCGCCGUAAACUGAAGAACAAUACUGAACAGAGCAAAUUACAGAGUUUUGGUGUUGCGAACUGCUUGCAGCUUUUCUGAUUUCUCAUUCCUUUUAUUUGCUCCACGAAGGGAGUUCAGAUUUCAAAUAAUAUGCAGCACAAAGCAACACGGGCGGGGGCGAGCUGACCGACGGCCGGCUGGAGAAAGAUUGUGGUAGAGAUGGCGAGCUAACCGGUGGCCGCCGCUGGAGCC
RNAcentral lists this long non-coding RNA (3056 nucleotides) under Oryza brachyantha (malo sina). Its description in RNAcentral is "long non-coding RNA (OBRA_LNC000452)". Lineage: Eukaryota; Viridiplantae; Streptophyta; Magnoliopsida; Poales; Poaceae. The record is from RNAcentral.